UGUUCUUGGAGCUGGCGCAGGCUCACCUCACCUCCUGCCGAGUUAAUCCACAUAGAUCAUUUAGCUGAAUGAUCUAAACACAGAAAUACAUUUUUGUUUUUAUUCUCAGAACAGUAUCAUUCUCUUUUUUCUUUUUCUUUUUUCUUUUUUUUUCCUUUUUUUUUAAAAACCUUUAGUAAUUCAGUGACUUCUGCAAUAGGUCUUCAGAACUCUUCUCCUAUCUGAAGGGGGCUGAAGGGGGCUGCACUAUCUGUCAGAAUAUUAUUUUUUUGGUGUAUUUUCUAAGCACUUUUCAUAUUUUCCAAGUUUUACAGCCUAGAGUUAGGCUUAACUUACUUCUGACUGGUGGUGUCAGAGUCACAAGGCUUCGGCUCCACCUAUGUCAUUGGCUUCUGAUGGAAAGGAUGGCAGACUGAACCAUAUUUGCUUUCCAAAACCAAGCUUGAAAUUCCCGUUGAACUUGGACUCCCUGGUUUUAAUUCAUAUCUGGAUAGACUGACUUAUGUAUUUUCUUCAUUCCUCUCCCCAGAUAUAUGAUUCUCUUUUUUUUUUUUCUGCAAGGAUGGUCUAUUUGUAAGGGUUCCUUAUGUUCUGCCUAAGUUUUCCCUUUGCUUCCAGUCAUUUUAGAACGCUCCUGUUUCUACCUGUUGCUCCCAUUAUGAUGUUUGUACUCUUGCAUACAACUGAAAAGCAUCUUCUGUCAUUCUUACCUUUGGAGUUGUUGUUUGUCCAGGUUAGUCAGUUCCUUUUAAUGUUUCCUCACUAGCUCUAAAAGGUAUUUUAUUUGAAUCUGGCAAAUAAUGUUCUCCGAGUUCAAGCUCUUGUGAUCCUGUAUGGCCCUGUCUGCCAGCAUCCAUAACUUUUUCCUCAUAAACAGUUCGUAGCAUUUUGCCAAAUUGUCAUAAUAAGAAGAAAAUGGGGAAAAGUAUAAAUGCAAAUGACAUUUAUCAAAUGUAAUGGUAAUGGUCCUCAGCUUCACCUUGCAAUCAUGUGCUUGAUAUGCUAUCUUUCUGGUCUCCUCCUCCGAGUAUAAAAUUGACACUUUUCUGUAUUCUUUUGCUGCAAUUUUAAGAACUUCUGUUCCAAAUAGGUUGUCUAACUGCCUUGGCAAGUUUAUAGACCUAAGCACAAUCAGCAUGUUUCUUUGGUGGUAAGUGUACAGUCUCCAAAUUUCUGUGUGUGACCACAGCCAUUUUUUGGAAUUACAAGCCUGUUUGCAUCUUUCUCCACAAGUAAACAAACUGAAAGCACCUGGCAAAGCACAGCUGAACUCGUGCAGCCGUCAAAGAAAGGUAGCUGCAUCCAGGCUGCCUACUGGAAAUGGUAUGUAGCAUGUGGCAGCCCCACAAACCACGCGCAGGUACUGCAGGUACAAUAAAAUAUGGUUAGGCUCCAUGCUGCUAUGGUAGAAGGCAGACAUUGCAGAGUUACCUGAAGGGUCUUACAACUCUGUCUGUCAAGGAUCCUUUUCUCCACAGCUCAUGUCAGCCAUACUUCGGAAAAUUUCAUCUAAAAUUAUUCAGCCACACACGAAAAUGAGAGUAUGGCAAGUAAGUUGAUUUUUGAACUUGCUAAAAAUCUUAUAGUGCUUUCAUUCAGAAAUCGUGCUUCUUCCAGGCUUUAGAGAAAGAAGCAUCUCCAGUAUCAAGCAAGCCCCUUUUGCUGUCUCCAGGAAAACAUGAACUGGCCAAGUGAUAACCUCUAAGUGAUUUUAAUUUGGACACCCUCAGCAGAAGCUUGAUAGAAUUUGGCAACUAAAUUCCUGGCUGGUGACAUCUGCAGUGAACCUCCUCCAGUCCUCGAAUUCUCCCCUGCCAGCUCAUCUGCCUGUGUGCAGCUCCAUCCUGCAACCCACAGCUGGCUGCUUCUGUGGUGGAGGGCAGGGCAGUGCUGCGCAAGGAGCGGGGAGCAGGGCCAGCAGGCACGUAAAGCAGAUAAAGAGGAAAAAAAACUGGAGACUGUACUAGGACUUGGUGUAAUGGGAAGGAAGAAGCUGUAGGGAUGGAAAACAAAAUAAGCAGGGAGGAAGCAGAACCAGCAUCUAUACUACCCCAUGUCUGUUCUUUCUUCUCUGGCAUAGAGAAAUCCAAGGUUUCCCUGGGUCUCCGUGUUUCUUUGUUGACAAGUAUCUGUGCUACCUGAUCAUGAAGUACGUAUCCUAUAUCCCUCAAGUUUGCUGAUUGAGUUUCUCCCUUAUGUGACUGAUACUAUGGGUGAUAACAGACAUCUACUGCUACCAGUUACUCAUUAGCACACAGUCCAGAGAUUUGUACUGGGGACAUAAAAGGUUUCAGUUCCAUUUGGAGGUCACUAAGGUUUCAUAUAAUAUCAUUUACUUUCAAUUAACAUAGGAAGUGACUUAAUUCCAAUAAAUUGCUAGGUGCUUAAAGUAAACCUAGCCAGAAAUACAAAUUUCUGGCCAGCUGAAAAUUUUUACAGUUACUAUCUCACUUAGACAAAAGAGAAAAAAAAAUGUAUUUUUGUGGCAGCACAUAAGAAUAAACUGCUGUUCCUUUAAUUGUCCUUUGUGAGCUACCUGUCAUCAUUUUUCUCUGUGCCAUCAAAGGGUAAACAGAUAGAAAGAAAAUGAGGUGAUCAAAACUUUUAUGGAAGGAUGACUUCGAUGUUAUAGAUGGCAUGAGCCAGGACUUAAUCCAAGAUUAACACAGUGUACAAGUUAAUUAAAAGAAACAAAUGUGAGGAAGCUAGUUCUAAUUUUCAGCAGCUCAUUUAGCUUAUCUUUAAUGCAAAUUGUCAGUGCAAUUCCUAUCGUGAAAAUAAAUCUCAUUAAAAAUACAUCACCUCUUCACACAUGUAAACCGAGGAAAGAAUGUGCUCCCACCAGGUGAAUGUGAUGUUACUCAGCUGCACAGCAGAGAUAAUGUGGAUUUCACUGCUUCAUCUAGUUUUAUAUUUUCUGAAAAAUCUUUCUAAUAAUAGAAACCUUGCUCAGUGAACUAUCAGAGUGCUAAUGAAUGUGGAAGAAUGGAGUGAUGUAAACCUUUUGAAACACAGUAGAGCAGUAUGAUUCUCACCUAUUUUACAGGUGGGAGACCUUACUAAUUGAGGAAGUUAGAAGUUAUAGGCCCCAAAUCCAUAGAUAAUGAAAGGGCAGACUUGGAGUAAUGAGAGUUCGAAACCCAUGUUCCCUUUUUUACCUCCAGACUUAUGCUACCAAGUGUUGUAUGCCCUUAGGCUGACAAUCUCCUUGAGAUUUACUGUUGAGUAGAGUUCAGAUAAAAGGAAUCUCUGAAAGUAAAUGCUAUUUGAAAUUGUAUAAAAAUGCAAAAAGAAAAGCUAUGUUGUGUUUAUAAAUCAUGAUAUCAUAUUAUUAUGAUUCUUUUGGAGCAGUUUAUGGAGCAGUAAAGCCAGAAUUCUUUACAGAGAUGAAAGUCAAUAUCUAUCUCCGUACCUCCACCAACAUUAGUAAGAAAUAUCGCUAGACUUUGCAAGAUAGGAAGCAAAGAAAAGGAAUAUUAAAUAGAGACAUUUUUUUUCCAUAUUAUAGUUCUGUUAUAAAACAAACAAGUGUAUAGCCUUUUGUAUGCUUACAGAUUUAUUUUUUUUUAACAGAACAACGAAGAAGUAGAUAUUCCAAAACAUUUGCGAGGACAUCAGGGAUCCUCUAUAGGCUGUGAUCUGCUUCUUCUGGAAGAAGCUUCAAGAGACUUCUUCACUCGUACAAGACUAAUUAUUUUGGGACUGGGGGCAAUUCCACAUCUAAUCAGCCUCACUCCGCUUGUACUGUAGGAAAAAGGUUAUUUUUAUUUCAUGGUCCAACAAAUUGAGGCUGUGGGAGGAGCUACUGAAGAUCACUGCAGGCAAUGUGCGACCUAGGGUAGGAACUCAGUUCUUUCAGCUUUUAUAUACAACCUGCUGAAUAAUGUUUUCUCUUGCUAAUGAGAAAAUCCGUCUAGGCCAGAAAGGGUAGGAGCAUUUCAUUCCAGAGAGGAAUAUCUGGAUGCUCUGACUUUUGCCUCCCGGAAUAUGUUUUACUACUGACCAACUUUACUGCGUUAUUAAUUUUAGUCAUCUGUCCACAGAAUAAUCAAGAACUGCCUUAGGAAAAUAUUAAGCUGAGCCGUAUACCAGUAAGAGCAAACAAAUUCACUUGGACAGCUGCAAAAAUGAAUUUAACUUACUCUUGCUGUGCCUAGGCAUAGUGUGAUUUCAGAGUUUCCUUUUGAUAUGUCACGAAGUCUCAUCACGUCUCAAAUAAGGUUACUGGAAGAGCAAAAGCAGGACUUUUGAUAUACUACAAACAAGGGACUCCAUGAAUCUUACAUACACAUGUAAAUCUACCUAUGAGCAUUGCUAGAAAAAUGACCAGGUGUUGUAAACCUCUGAAUUCAAUCUGUGCAAAGAUCUCCGUGUCUAUAAUGUGUAAAGGCCAACAAGCACUGUUCUCCAGAGAUCGAAGCAGAUGUGUGUAGAUCUCCUCCCAGCUCUGUGUUUUGAUCAAAUGUCAGGAGUCUGUAAAGCACAGGUGCUACCUCCAUUUUUCCAUACGUCCAGCAAGAUGCAGCCAAUUCAUUGAGGCAGGGAUACAGUUAAUUUUCAUGGUAGCUGAUAUGGUGCUGUGUUUUGGAUUUAGGAUGAAAAUAAUGUUGAUCCAGAUGGCAUUAAGAACAUUAAAACAACCACCAGGUGGAUCAGGCUGCUAGAACUGGAGUGCUUAUACAUUUCUAGAUUUGGAAUGGAUGACCAGAUCAUUGUCCUAUUGUACCCAUACAGACUAUCAGAAGUAACCUACUUGUUCUUUUAAUUGGACUAAAAUUUUCAAAGUGUAUGAAAAAUUGCUUAUCCCACUGAAAACAGACUUAUAUGCUGAGAGCUCGCAGCCCACUCUUCAAUUAUUGCAUGAAUAUGUUUAUUGUGUAUUGUUAUGUCCUGUAUGGAAAGUGUGUCCAUGGGAACAUGUGGUGUGUUAAACACUGUGCCUGCCCCCACUACCUGCUUCAUGAGCAGCCUAAAUGUGGAAGUACAUUCUCAUGGCUGAGCUGUGCAGUUUAUUUUCUGUUCUGCCACAGCAUGGGCUAAGCAGGAAAAUUUGCAUCUGGUUGAGGUGGCCCAGAGUAAAACCUAACCAAGAGACUUCGGUUCUGAGUUUCAGUUGUGCGUUGCAGGGAAACUCAUUUGUUUGUCUUAACCUUUGAAAAGUGAGUGUGACUGAAUUUGGGUUGAAAAAUCCCAUUGGGUUGAGGAAUAAAUGGUUUUAUAACAGGAAAUGUUGAAAUAGAAAGUUGAAAUUUUCUUCACGUUCUUUUAUUUUUUCCCUUUCUGCCAGUCACAAAUGACCCAAAUUCAUUCAAACUUCACCAAUAGCCUAGGUUAUGCCAUGGCAUUGCAUUUUUCUGCAAAUAAGCUCAUCCCAAAUUUGUGGCUUGGUUGUAGAGGUAAGGUUUACUGUGCCCUACAGCAUACCACAGAUUGGAGGGAGGCUGUGGAGAACCUAUAGCAGCAGCAGGGUCAAUAACUGUGUGGCACUGAAACCCUGCAGGCAAAGGAAGAAGCAAGGUCAAACCCUGCUAGCAGUGGGAUAAAACUGCUCGGAAACCCUCAGCUAUGGAUUGCCUUGUUCCCCAGCUGUUUGUAAUGCAAGCUGGAUUUCUAAUUAAUUAGGACAAAGUCAAUGAAUUAGUUGGACUUAGAUCUGUGAAUGAUGAAUACUGACCUAAACUUCCAGAUGUCUGUGCAACAGCUCUCCUUUCUGCAGGUGAUUCUUGCAUUCUCCCGAUUCCAAAGCUUUGCAGAGUUUCAGGUCAUGUUUAUCCUGACAGAGCCCAUGUUGUGAGCAUGGCUAGUCUUUGCUGUGGUUAAUUCCUUCUAGUGCAGCAAAAAUGCAUUGAAUAUUUGAAGUUUCCUUACUUUUGAGAGCAUUUUGCUAGCUCUGAAGAAGAGCUUCUCUGGCUGAGCAGCUGUGUGUGUUCGCCAGCAGGGCAAUAUGCUCACUGAAGAUCCUGAGAUUGACUGACCCAGCAUCUCUCUUCCUCAGGAGGAUCUCAGUGAAAAGACUCUUCAGUGUUGGACAAGCUUUGACUAAGUCUGAAUUUGCUGUAAUGCAUGCAAAAUGAGUCUAAAUUUCCUUUUCAUCACACACACAAUCAUGCCAUCACUUUGGACUUUGUUGUAGCCAUCAUUUCACACAUUGGCAUAACCUAGAAUGUGCUGGAGCAAAGCUGCGCUGGUAACAAAUUGUUUUCCUUCCAGGAUCUUUCAGAAAUGGUUCCUUUUUCUUGCCUCUCUUGGUUAAUUAAAGGGACAUACUGGAUUUCGUAGACUUAGAAAAUGAGUUGCCAUUCAUGCCAUAAUGCCACAGAUUUUUAUUACCCUUGCAGAUUUUAGAAGUACUUUUUUUUAGGGGGGGAGUGGGGGGGGGUUGCAAAGUUAUAGCAAGACUUUUAUAAAUCAGAAGAGGUAGAACAUGUUAUGUAGAAUGACAUCUGAUGGUUUAAUUGAUAUUGAAGCCUGUGGUUAACCUCUUUUCUAGGCCAAAUUGGUCACAAUUAAUGUUACAUGCUCAGCAAAGCCCCUGGGAGACAAAGUAGAAACUGCUAUAUCUUUCUGCACAAAGCUGGUACAGAGCAGCCUCACACUGUGCCUUUCUCACAGUUCCCUUUCGCAGUGGAAUUCCUUCUAAAAGGAAGAAAGAUAGUUCAUUCCCAGUGGAUUUGGUACUGCGAACAGAUUUUAUUCAUGAUGAUCUGGACAAAUGAGGCCUUGAACUGUGUGAAAACCACCAUUUCACACAUUGCUCAAUUUAUCACAACUGUUGGACCGUAAAGAAAAUAUUAUAUCAUGUCCCACAUUGAUGUGUGGCUAUGGGGGAAGUUCUUUGAUAUGUCAGAUUUGCCAUCCAGUGCUGUUGUUGGGAGAAAAGCCAGCAUUGCUUCAGUUCUGAUGUCACUUGUACACAGAAAAAUGUGUGUUGAGUUAUGGAAAAAAAAUAAAAAUGGUGUAAGUA
Anas platyrhynchos (mallard) is the source of this 6964-nucleotide non-coding RNA. NCBI's taxonomy places the organism in Eukaryota, Metazoa, Chordata, Aves, Anseriformes, Anatidae. The record is from RefSeq and is a predicted model, not a curated record.